GCCCAAUGAUGAGACCAAGGCGAAUACGAGCUCACUGACUGAGAGCUGGGUUCUUCUUUGCCUUGACUGGCAGGUAAUCUUGGCAGUGCAGAGGAGGAUUUCUGCACUGCUGUAAGGGCCUGCCUACAGUGAACUAGCUUGACCCAAAUUAUUCCUCAACAGUCACAGUGGGGCAAUUCUUGGGAUAGUGCUGACAGAGUGUGUGCGUGUGCAUGCAUGUGAAUUUAUAAAAAGCAAGAAGUUCACCCUGCUCUCUUUGCUGUUCAGUUUGCCAUGAGUUUCCUCUUUGGUAAUCUGAGGGCC
This is a small nucleolar RNA of Solea solea (common sole), 303 nucleotides long. The record is from RefSeq and is a predicted model, not a curated record. Lineage: Eukaryota; Metazoa; Chordata; Actinopteri; Pleuronectiformes; Soleidae.